Molecule: ribosomal RNA, 425 nt
Filed under: uncultured bacterium
Lineage: Bacteria
Description: bacterial SSU rRNA
Rfam family: Bacterial small subunit ribosomal RNA
Source: RNAcentral
GUGGGGAAUAUUGGACAAUGGGCGCAAGCCUGAUCCAGCCAUGCCGCGUGAGUGAUGAAGGCCUUAGGGUUGUAAAGCUCUUUUGUCCGGGAAGAUAAUGACUGUACCGGAAGAAUAAGCCCCGGCUAACUUCGUGCCAGCAGCCGCGGUAAUACGAAGGGGGCUAGCGUUGUUCGGAAUCACUGGGCGUAAAGCGCACGUAGGCGGACCAUUCAGUCAGGGGUGAAAGCCUGGAGCUCAACUCCAGAACUGCCUUUGAUACGGAUGGUCUCGAGUAUGGAAGAGGUUGGUGGAACUGCGAGUGUAGAGGUGAAAUUCGUAGAUAUUCGCAAGAACACCGGUGGCGAAGGCGGCCAACUGGUCCAUUACUGACGCUGAGGUGCGAAAGCGUGGGGAGCAAACAGGAUUAGAAACCCUGGUAGUCC